AGGUGUUGGUUGGCUCCCAAAAAAAAAAAAUUUCCCCCUCGAGCUGGUGAAAGGCCAACAAUGCCCACACGUCUCUCAUGCAUCCCCCAAUGCAUGUGAGCGUGUGGGCAUGUCGCAAUGAGGUCCCUUUCGAGUUUACAACACCCAACAAACCACGUGGGGGCGUGGGAAUGGCUCUCGAUCACCCUAUUGGCACGGGCGACGGAUGGGCGACGGCUGGGCGAUGGCUGAGCGAUGUUGGGCGUUCUCUGGGCGAUACAUGGGCCGGUGAUUUGACGUAUCGCCAUAAGAGAAAUCCUUGCCAUCACCCAUGGCACGUCACGAGAUGGCGUUGGAAAUAGGGGGAUGUGUUGGUUGAUGGCUUCCUGAACAAAAAAAAAAUCCCCCACGAGCUGGUGAAAGGCCGCAAAGACCCACACGUCUCCCAUGCAUCUAACAAUGCAUGAGAGCGUGUGGGCAUGUCCCGAUGAGGACCCUUCGAGUUCACAACACCACGUGGGGGCGGAGGGAAUGGCUCUCGAUCUCCCUAUUGGCAUGGGCGAUCCUGGGCGACGUAUGGGCGAUGGAUGAGUGAUGUUGGGCGCUCUUUGGGCGAUACAUGGGCCAGUGAUUCGGCGUAUCGCCAUAAGAGAAUUCCUUGCCAUCGUCCAUGGCACGUCACGAGAUGGUGUUGGAAAUAGUUGGCUGGUGGAAAAAAAAACCAUUGGAUGGAUCGUCGUGAGAACGGGUUGGUUGGAUGGUUGGGCGCAUGGGCGCAGCUUGGGAGAUCCCCGGGCAAUCGAUGGGCAUUGGAUGGUUGGCGGACAUCUUGUGAACGUUUGUGAUCACCAUGUGGAGCAUUGCUCGGGCAGGUGCUGAGCAACCCCAAAUAUGUGAGCUGGGUACUUUUUGUGGACGGUUGUCAAUCCUCAUGCUUGGUAGCUAUGAAAUGAAGGGGGUUCACCACGCCUCUCCCUCGGAUAACCUUCCGGGCCCAUACCACACGUUCAUUUGACCUGUUUAAGCCGCUUCAUGUGCGAAAAAAAACAUGGUCUUCUCAACGAGUGGCUUAGGCUUGGGGGUGUGAGGGGGGAGGAGUGUGGUGCUGCCCACGAUGCAUCAACUUGCCCCGAUACUAUUAGACGAUCUUGUUCGUCUCCCAUGCAACAUCUUAGUCCGUAUAUCGCUCAUCCUAAUUACAUUCGUUUGUAACGCUACGGCGCAGGUGGCCAAAGCGGGCGAUGGAAUAAGGUGUUGCAUGGGGGCUUUAUUGGUCUCCCAUGCACCAUCUUAGGCCUUUUGAUCGCUCAAUCCGGUUACAUUCAUUUGUAAUGCUGCGGUGCUGGUGGCCAAAGCGAGCGGUGGAAUAAGGUGUUGCAUGGGGGAAAUAUAGGGCUCCCAUGCAACAUCUUAGGCCGUGAUCGCUCAAUCCGGUUACAUUCGUGUGUAACGCUGCGGUGCUGGUGGCCAAAGCGGGCGAUGGAAUAAGGUGUUGCAUGGGGGAUCAUGCGUACGUCUGCUCCCAUGCACCAUCUUAGGCCUUGAUCGCUCAAUCCGGUUACAUUCGUUUGUAACGCUGCGGCGCUGGUGGCCAAAGCGGGCGAUGGAAUAAGGUGUUGCAUUGGGGAACAUCAUGGGCUGUUACUUUGAUGCUUGGGGGGGUUCACUAUGCCCCUCCCCAGGAUAACCUUCCCGGCCCAUUCCACACGGCCAUUUGACUUGUUUGACCCGCUUCAUGCGCAAAAAACAUGGUCAUCUCAACGAGUGGUUUAGGAUAGGGGGUGUGAGGGGGGAGGAGUGUGUUGCUGCCCACUAUGCAUCAACUUGCCCCGAUGCUAUCAGACGACGUGUUAGUCUCCCAUGCAGCAUCUUAGUCCGUAUAUCGCUCAAUCCGGUUACAUUCGUUUGUAACGCUGCGGCGCUGGUGGCCAAAGCGGGGCGAUGGAAUGAGGUGUUGCAUGGGGGUACUCCAGGUCUCCCAUGCAACAUCUUAGUCCGUACAUCGCUCAAUCCGGUUACAUUCGUUUGUAACGCUGCGGCGCUGGUGGCCAAAGCGGGCGAUGGAAUAGGUUGUUGCAUGGGGGUACGCAUGGUCUCCCAUGCAACAUCUUAGUCUGUAUAUCGCUUAUCCUGGUUACAUUCGUUUGUAACGCUGCGGCGCUGGUGGCCAAAGCGGGCGAUGGAAUAAGGUGUUGCAUGGUGGAUCAUGCGUACGUCUGCUCUCAUGCACCAUCUUAGGCCUUGAUCGCUCAAUCCGGUUACAUUUGUUUGUAACGCUGCGGCGCUGGUGGCCAAAGCGGGCGAUGGAAUAAGGUGUUGCAUGGGGAAAGAUCAUGGGGUGUUACUUUGAUGAGGGGACCUUCAGGGCAUUGCUACUAGAUUGCGUGUUGGGGAGACUCCCGUGCCCAAUAACCAGUUUGCACCCAUCCGGCUCCACGUAGUGCAAUGACAAAAUGUUCAGGAGAUGCCCCGAUACUGUUCUGAAGCUUUUCAUGUUGGUUCGAAACUUGCCCCGACAGUGUGUCCCGACCGUUACAGCCAGAUUUCGCGCACAGCGAGUGUUUCGAACGGUGCUUCGUUCUACCAUACGUAUUGCCCUUUGCGGGGUAAUGCACACAUAUGGGUGAGCAGGCAUUGUUCCCAACGCAACGUGUUGGCGUGUGAGUGGUAGUAGAGACAUCCCUGCUUUUGGGCUCCGUGCUUCGCGCAUCGAACCAUAAGCACAUGUUUCCCUCAUUGGCGUCCGGCGUACUUGAUUGUAUGUCGGCAAGUAAAAUGGUUCCUGUGCUCCCUACCCGAAGAAAGUGGAAAAGAUCAUUGCUAACGAGAUUUAUUGCCUUUGGUCGGCCAAAAGCUGGCCGAGGGCAACAUGUUAGUGUGGCUUGUGAAACCAACCGCGGCGUUUGCCCGCGUGUCUGGCUAGCGAGCUUGCACGUGCUUGGGGAUAUGGAAAACAUAGAUGGGUCAGGGUUCUGAACUCGACCGACGCAAUCGUAGCUAACGAGUGACCGCCGGACCGCAAUGGUAAGUCCCACUCCCUGCGUGACCAGGUGUAGUUGGGCGCGGCGCGGACAACCGGCGACAUGAAGGAAUGC
This 3074-nucleotide unclassified non-coding RNA is filed under the name Anemone parviflora. Its description in RNAcentral is "external transcribed spacer". The record is from RNAcentral. Lineage: Eukaryota; Viridiplantae; Streptophyta; Magnoliopsida; Ranunculales; Ranunculaceae.